CCUACGGGAGGCAGCAGUGGGGAAUUUUGGACAAUGGGCGAAAGCCUGAUCCAGCCAUGCCGCGUGCAGGAUGAAGGCCUUCGGGUUGUAAACUGCUUUUGUACGGAACGAAAAGGUCUUUUUUAAUAAAGAGGGCCCAUGACGGUACCGUAAGAAUAAGCACCGGCUAACUACGUGCCAGCAGCCGCGGUAAUACGUAGGGUGCAAGCGUUAAUCGGAAUUACUGGGCGUAAAGCGUGCGCAGGCGGUUAUAUAAGACAGUUGUGAAAUCCCCGGGCUCAACCUGGGAACUGCAUCUGUGACUGUAUAGCUAGAGUACGGUAGAGGGGGAUGGAAUUCCGCGUGUAGCAGUGAAAUGCGUAGAUAUGCGGAGGAGCACCGAUGGCGAAGGCAAUCCCCUGGACCUGUACUGACGCUCAUGCACGAAAGCGUGGGGAGCAAACAGGAUUAGAUACCCUGGUAGUCCACGCCCUAAACGAUGUCAACUGGUUGUUGGGUCUUCACUGACUCAGUAACGAAGCUAACGCGUGAAGUUGACCGCCUGGGGAGUACGGCCGCAAGGUUGAAACUCAAANAGAGUAGAGCGNGAGAGUGCGACGGACGACGACGAGGGAGGAGG
Molecule: ribosomal RNA, 619 nt
Filed under: uncultured bacterium
Lineage: Bacteria
Description: bacterial SSU rRNA
Rfam family: Bacterial small subunit ribosomal RNA
Source: RNAcentral